AGAUGAGAGGGCACUCUGGUUGUGCUAUCUGUCAUCAUAUUGAUUGUCAGAGUCACUUUGGCUGAUCGGGCUGGCUGUGUGGGUGUGUCCUAGUUCACCAGUCUCUGUUCACCCCUGUGAGGCUGCAUGCUCAGUGGAAAAGAAAGUUUAUGGGCCGCUGUGCUUCCCCUGCUAGAACCUCCAGAUAAGCUCUCAAGGAUUUGUUUGCUAAUAUUAGAGAAGUUUUUGUUAAUCAACUACAACUUUCACAAACAUUUGUUUUUUUAAU
This is a non-coding RNA of Erinaceus europaeus (western European hedgehog), 268 nucleotides long. Lineage: Eukaryota; Metazoa; Chordata; Mammalia; Eulipotyphla; Erinaceidae. The record is from Rfam.